This 278-nucleotide long non-coding RNA is filed under the name Nicotiana benthamiana. RNAcentral's name for it is "long non-coding RNA (NBEN_LNC011140)". The record is from RNAcentral. Lineage: Eukaryota; Viridiplantae; Streptophyta; Magnoliopsida; Solanales; Solanaceae.
UCAGGUCUGUCCAUUACAGAAAUAGCCUAUUUACACAUAUAGCCUAACUACAGAAAAUAAGCUAAUUACAAUUAUAGCCUAAUUACAUAAGUAGCCUAUUAGGCUCAGAUAUGCCUCCCUUAUUGACCCUUAACGGUCUAAAGUGGGUUUAUCAUCAUCGCCUAUAUAUGUCCCAACACCCCCCCUCAAGUUGAAGGGGGGAAACCACCAUCAAUUUGGACAAAAGAGGAGAGAGAGCAGUCCCAGAUAAAGCCUUGGUCAAUAGAUCAGCCAGCUGC